GGGGGCGAACCGGCUUCGACGAGAGCACUGACGCCACUGGUUGCAGGCCGAGGUUGCCGGCACCUCGUUAAACAUCGGCAAAAAAACAAAAGACAAUAGCGAAAGCUAUGCCUUGGCUGCUUAAUCAGUAGCCCGUCCCCAGGAUCCGCUCCCACCGGGUUUUGAAGGGCGCCAUUAUGUGGGAUGCUCGUUUGACUGAGACCCUGGGUCAAACGCUAAGACACACAGUGUCUGGCCAGACGGACCCUGUCUUGGAGGUCACCGACUGGCGAGAAACAAACCAAGGCUAAGCCUGUAGUAAUCGUGGUCGAUGGUUUUCGGACGCGGGUUCGAUUCCCGCCGCCUCCACAA
Molecule: transfer-messenger RNA, 351 nt
Filed under: Deltaproteobacteria bacterium
Lineage: Bacteria; Pseudomonadati; Myxococcota; Myxococcia
Rfam family: transfer-messenger RNA
About the family: Bacterial tmRNA, also known as 10Sa RNA or SsrA, is named for its dual tRNA and mRNA-like properties. Its role is to liberate the mRNA from a stalled ribosome. To accomplish this part of the tmRNA is used as a reading frame that ends in a translation stop signal.
Source: RNAcentral